RNAcentral lists this ribosomal RNA (307 nucleotides) under Strombidinopsis acuminata. Its description in RNAcentral is "partial Bacterial small subunit ribosomal RNA". It matches the Rfam family "Bacterial small subunit ribosomal RNA", at positions 880 to 1184 of the family's 1533-position model. Lineage: Eukaryota; Ciliophora; Spirotrichea; Choreotrichida; Strombidinopsidae. The record is from RNAcentral.
GUACGGUCGCAAGGCUAAAACUCAAAGGAAUUGACGGGGGCUCACACAAGCGGUGGAGGAUGUGGCUUAAUUCGAGGCUACGCGAAGAACCUUAUCCUAGACUUGACAUGCUUGAGAAUCCCUAUGAAAGUAGAGAGUGCCCUUCGGGGAGCUCUUGCACAGGUGCUGCAUGGCUGUCGUCAGCUCGUGUCGUGAGAUGUUGGGUUAAGUCCCGCAACGAGCGCAACCCUCGCCUUUAGUUGCCAUCAUUUAGUUGGGCACUCUAGAGGGACUGCCGGUGAUAAGCCGGAGGAAGGUGGGGAUGACG